GAAUGUAGUUCUAAAGCUACGAGAAAUACAGAUUUUUACGGCGAACUACAGCGGUUAUAAUUCGGUUAACUUCAAAAAGAAACAGACUCUGACUUGUAUGUACAAGCCACUUAUCCAUUUUUGCGUAACUAAUAUUUUUUACCUGAUGGCAACGAAUAUAUAGCAAAUAAAAUGUUAUUACAUUUUUAUAAUAUAUAAAAAGUACGGUGGCAUCCAUAAAUUUAUUUCGUAGCAUGUGGCAACCCUAAGAAGGAAAGUCAGCUGUUUCACUAGAAACCGUACAGCAAUUAUUAUCAGCUCUGAGUUUUAAGUUGGGGAAUAUUUAUGUUCUUCACCUACACAGAUCACACUUUCGAUAGAUUUAAUGGAAUACAUGCAGUAUGUGGAACCAACACGCGCAGAAAUGUUGGAGCAGCUAAGAAAGCGCGAAUUGUAUGUGCCGAAUGUCGAAAGCUUAUCAAUUGAUCAGUUGCUGCAAAUCUACAACGGAUUCAUUGUGCCGCAUCCGCGCAGGGAGCGACGCGAGCGACAGCGCACGCUGACCGAAAUGGCACUGAAAUGCGCCAAUGAAAUGCCCAUGGAAAUGGAACAGCUAACGAAACGCAUUAAAGUGGUCUGCAUGGCCGGUGAAAAGCGUGCCAUCCACGUUGAGCCGCGGUCGAUGCUAAACACCUCUCCAAAACGCAUCAAAAUCGACCUGCAUCGAUGAUCUUUGUUAGAAAUCAAGUCAUGGAUUGCCUCUGCAACCUGCAGUUAUGGUCAGUAAUAUUCUGCAGUAUUUUUCUUACUGCUGGAGACAUAAGUUGCACGCUAGGUUGAUGACAGCAUCAAAAUGGUCUAUGUGCAGCAGAUGGAUUGCAUUUGCACUUUCUGGGCCCAGCGGGACACCAGUUAAACCUAGUUGGUCCAAGACGUAGCUUAUUGCUGCCAGUGUACCAUCCAAAAAGAGUGAGAUGGCAUAACCCACUGACACACAAUAAUGAGCGAGACAGAACGAUAAUUGUAUAUGGCCGCUUCCACAGAAAGCUCGAUUUUUUUAGUCCUUGCCACUGGAGUAAAGAGAUCGCCUAAGUGAGCAGCACUUGCUCAACCUCCUAAUGAAGAGGAGCAGAACUUUGAAGAAGCUCUGAUAAGAGCUUAGGAGACAAGCUCUUUACUAAGAUAGAUGCUCCUAUUUCAAGUAAUUGCUGGAUCCCAUGGGACGCUAUCAACUUUAUAAUAUUAAUUUGACCACUAAAUAUGGUACUCACAAAGAGCCUUGUGUUAAACAGAAGAAAAAAAAAUGUCCUUCAGUUUGGCUUUUUUCCAAAAUUAUGUAUGCGACGGAUAAGGACGUUGGACACCAUGGAAAUACCCACAGAUAAAAUUCCUUCCGGUUACAAAUAUAUUCUAAUUCGUAUACGGAAAUUAUAAUUUAUAUUUGGAUAAUAACAAUACCUUUAUUAAAUUAAAACAUUUGCUUGU
Molecule: RNA transcript, 1464 nt
Organism: Drosophila montana
Lineage: Eukaryota; Metazoa; Arthropoda; Insecta; Diptera; Drosophilidae
Exons: 3
Source: RefSeq, a predicted model, not a curated record